UACGUAGGUGGCAAACGUUGUCCGGAUUCACUGGGCGUAAAGCGCGCGCAGGCGGAUUGGUCAGUCCGAGGUUAAAGCUCCCGGCUCAACUGGGAGAGGCCCUUGGAUACUGCUAGUCUUGAGGUACCUAGGGGAGAGUGGAAUUCCGGGUGUAGUGGUGGAAUGCGUAGAUAUCCGGAGGAACACCAGUGGCGAAGGCGACUCUCUGGGGGUGACCUGACGCUGAGGCGCGAAAGCAUGGGGAGCAAACCGG
This 253-nucleotide unclassified non-coding RNA is filed under the name uncultured Chloroflexota bacterium. RNAcentral's name for it is "uncultured Chloroflexi bacterium contains 16S-23S intergenic spacer region". It matches the Rfam family "Bacterial small subunit ribosomal RNA", at positions 524 to 776 of the family's 1533-position model. The record is from RNAcentral. Lineage: Bacteria; Bacillati; Chloroflexota.